Molecule: ribosomal RNA, 2905 nt
Filed under: Yersinia kristensenii
Lineage: Bacteria; Pseudomonadati; Pseudomonadota; Gammaproteobacteria; Enterobacterales; Yersiniaceae
Description: bacterial LSU rRNA
Rfam family: Bacterial large subunit ribosomal RNA
Source: RNAcentral
UUAAGCGACUAAGCGUACACGGUGGAUGCCUAGGCAGUCAGAGGCGAUGAAGGGCGUGCUAAUCUGCGAAAAGCGUCGGUAAGGUGAUAUGAACCGUUACAACCGACGAUACCCGAAUGGGGAAACCCAGUGCAAUUCGUUGCACUAUUGCAUGGUGAAUACAUAGCCAUGCAAGGCGAACCGGGGGAACUGAAACAUCUAAGUACCCCGAGGAAAAGAAAUCAACCGAGAUUCCCCUAGUAGCGGCGAGCGAACGGGGAGGAGCCCAGAGUCUGAAUCAGUUUGUGUGUUAGUGGAAGCGUCUGGAAAGUCGCACGGUACAGGGUGAUAGUCCCGUACACAAAAACACACUUGCUGUGAACUCGAUGAGUAGGGCGGGACACGUGACAUCCUGUCUGAAUAUGGGGGGACCAUCCUCCAAGGCUAAAUACUCCUGACUGACCGAUAGUGAACCAGUACCGUGAGGGAAAGGCGAAAAGAACCCCGGCGAGGGGAGUGAAAUAGAACCUGAAACCGUGUACGUACAAGCAGUGGGAGCACCUUCGUGGUGUGACUGCGUACCUUUUGUAUAAUGGGUCAGCGACUUAUAUUUUGUAGCAAGGUUAACCGAAUAGGGGAGCCGUAGGGAAACCGAGUCUUAACUGGGCGUCUAGUUGCAAGGUAUAGACCCGAAACCCGGUGAUCUAGCCAUGGGCAGGUUGAAGGUUGGGUAACACUAACUGGAGGACCGAACCGACUAAUGUUGAAAAAUUAGCGGAUGACUUGUGGCUGGGGGUGAAAGGCCAAUCAAACCGGGAGAUAGCUGGUUCUCCCCGAAAGCUAUUUAGGUAGCGCCUCGUGAACUCAUCUUCGGGGGUAGAGCACUGUUUCGGCUAGGGGGUCAUCCCGACUUACCAAACCGAUGCAAACUCCGAAUACCGAAGAAUGUUAUCACGGGAGACACACGGCGGGUGCUAACGUCCGUCGUGAAGAGGGAAACAACCCAGACCGCCAGCUAAGGUCCCAAAGUCAUGGUUAAGUGGGAAACGAUGUGGGAAGGCAUAGACAGCCAGGAUGUUGGCUUAGAAGCAGCCAUCAUUUAAAGAAAGCGUAAUAGCUCACUGGUCGAGUCGGCCUGCGCGGAAGAUGUAACGGGGCUAAACCAUGCACCGAAGCUGCGGCAGCGACACUUAGGUGUUGUUGGGUAGGGGAGCGUUCUGUAAGCCGUUGAAGGUGACCUGUGAGGGUUGCUGGAGGUAUCAGAAGUGCGAAUGCUGACAUAAGUAACGAUAAUGCGGGUGAAAAACCCGCACGCCGGAAGACCAAGGGUUCCUGUCCAACGUUAAUCGGGGCAGGGUGAGUCGACCCCUAAGGCGAGGCUGAAAAGCGUAGUCGAUGGGAAACAGGUUAAUAUUCCUGUACUUGGUGUUACUGCGAAGGGGGGACGGAGAAGGCUAGGCUAGCCGGGCGACGGUUGUCCCGGUUUAAGCAUGUAGGCGGAGUGACUUGGUAAAUCCGGUUGCUUAUCAACGCUGAGGUGUGAUGACGAGUCACUACGGUGAUGAAGUAGUUGAUGCCAAGCUUCCAGGAAAAGCCUCUAAGCAUCAGGUAACAUUAAAUCGUACCCCAAACCGACACAGGUGGUCAGGUAGAGAAUACUCAGGCGCUUGAGAGAACUCGGGUGAAGGAACUAGGCAAAAUGGUGCCGUAACUUCGGGAGAAGGCACGCUGGCAUUAGGUAAUGGGACUUGCUCCCGGCGCCGAAGCCAGUCGCAGAUACCAGCUGGCUGCAACUGUUUAAUAAAAACACAGCACUGUGCAAACACGAAAGUGGACGUAUACGGUGUGACGCCUGCCCGGUGCUGGAAGGUUAAUUGAUGGGGUCAGCCGCAAGGCGAAGCUCUUGAUCGAAGCCCCAGUAAACGGCGGCCGUAACUAUAACGGUCCUAAGGUAGCGAAAUUCCUUGUCGGGUAAGUUCCGACCUGCACGAAUGGCGUAAUGAUGGCCAGGCUGUCUCCACCCGAGACUCAGUGAAAUUGAACUCGCUGUGAAGAUGCAGUGUACCCGCGGCAAGACGGAAAGACCCCGUGAACCUUUACUAUAGCUUGACACUGAACAUUGAGCCUUGAUGUGUAGGAUAGGUGGGAGGCAUUGAAGUGUGGACGCCAGUCUGCAUGGAGCCAACCUUGAAAUACCACCCUUUAAUGUUUGAUGUUCUAACUCGGCCCCGUGAUCCGGGGUGAGGACAGUGUCUGGUGGGUAGUUUGACUGGGGCGGUCUCCUCCCAAAGAGUAACGGAGGAGCACGAAGGUUAGCUAAUCACGGUCGGACAUCGUGAGGUUAGUGCAAAGGCAUAAGCUAGCUUGACUGCGAGAGUGACGGCUCGAGCAGGUACGAAAGUAGGUCUUAGUGAUCCGGUGGUUCUGAAUGGAAGGGCCAUCGCUCAACGGAUAAAAGGUACUCCGGGGAUAACAGGCUGAUACCGCCCAAGAGUUCAUAUCGACGGCGGUGUUUGGCACCUCGAUGUCGGCUCAUCACAUCCUGGGGCUGAAGUAGGUCCCAAGGGUAUGGCUGUUCGCCAUUUAAAGUGGUACGCGAGCUGGGUUUAGAACGUCGUGAGACAGUUCGGUCCCUAUCUGCCGUGGGCGUUGGAAGAUUGAGAGGGGCUGCUCCUAGUACGAGAGGACCGGAGUGGACGAAUCACUGGUGUUCGGGUUGUCAUGCCAAUGGCAUUGCCCGGUAGCUAAAUUCGGAAGAGAUAACCGCUGAAAGCAUCUAAGCGGGAAACUUGCCUCGAGAUGAGUCUUCCCUGGGGCUUUAAGCCCCCUGAAGGAACGUUAAAGACUAUGACGUUGAUAGGCUGGGUGUGUAAGUGCAGCGAUGCAUUGAGCUAACCAGUACUAAUGAUCCGUGAGGCUUAACCUU